CCUUAGAACUUGUAAAGGGGCUGUUUAGCCAAUGUGCCUGGCUUCCUCCGUGAACCCAGGCAAAGUAGAGCAGGCAUGUCUGCAGGAGAUGUGCUGUGAGAAAAGGAGCGUCUCUGACAAGGUUCCUGGUGUUUCCUGCUCACGGCCCCCUCAGGAAGUGGAAUAUGCGGCAGCAGUGUAAAAUGAACAAACAGCAGGAAAGAGAUAGGCCUGACCCAAAACUCUGGCUCUCAUCACUCGCAAACAGGAGGCAACAGGAUUCUUGCAAAGAAUAUGGCUGCUACGACACCUGGCAUAUAGACAUGUCCUUUGGUCUGAGGAUCUGAAAGUGCUUCACAAAGGUAUCCCCCUCAGAAGAUCCACCACAGCUCUGGCGCUCUUGUGGACGGUUGCGCAGCACAGAUGCAAAGGAAAGAGGAGAGUAUGGAACUACACUCUAGUCUCUCCCCAUACCUAGGGAGAGUUUCAGGGCAGUUAUGAGGCACAUUGGCAAGGGAUAA
Mauremys mutica (yellowpond turtle) is the source of this 500-nucleotide long non-coding RNA. RefSeq lists it as uncharacterized. The record is from RefSeq and is a predicted model, not a curated record. Lineage: Eukaryota; Metazoa; Chordata; Testudines; Geoemydidae. The transcript is spliced from 4 exons.